Molecule: ribosomal RNA, 471 nt
Filed under: uncultured bacterium
Lineage: Bacteria
Description: bacterial SSU rRNA
Rfam family: Bacterial small subunit ribosomal RNA
Source: RNAcentral
ACUCCUACGGGAGGCAGCAGUGGGGAAUAUUGCACAAUGGGCGCAAGCCUGAUGCAGCCAUGCCGCGUGUAUGAAGAAGGCCUUCGGGUUGUAAAGUACUUUCAGCAGUGAGGAAGGUGGGUAUGUUAAUAGCAUACUCAUUUGACGUUAGCUGCAGAAGAAGCACCGGCUAACUCCGUGCCAGCAGCCGCGGUAAUACGGAGGGUGCGAGCGUUAAUCGGAAUUACUGGGCGUAAAGCGCAUGCAGGUGGUUUGUUAAGUCAGAUGUGAAAGCCCGGGGCUCAACCUCGGAAUUGCAUUUGAAACUGGCAAACUAGAGUACUGUAGAGGGGGGUAGAAUUUCAGGUGUAGCGGUGAAAUGCGUAGAGAUCUGAAGGAAUACCGGUGGCGAAGGCGGCCCCCUGGACAGAUACUGACACUCAGAUGCGAAAGCGUGGGGGAGCAAACAGGAUUAGAUACCCGGUAGGCUCU